UGUUUCUGUGCUCCCUCUUAGUGCUCUGAAAUCUUGGGCUCCUCUCCCUCUUGAUUGCUGGCUGAAAAUCUUGGCUUGGCACUCCCAAGCUGCACACCACAGCUCUGGGACAAUCUCAAGCUUUAUAUCCCUUCCCAUCUUGGAGGAAUCAGAGGAAGGAAAGUUAGCAGUGGUUGUGACAGAGGGUUUUUCACUUGUCUCUUGGAGCUCCACCUCAGAAAGACGCAGAGCUGCUAUCAAUCAGUAUGAUUGGCCUAGGAUGGGGCAGCUGUGCUGUGAGACCAACCCAUGGCAGACAUCCAGCUGAUCACACUGUGUCCACAUAAGGCAAAUGCUGAGCUGUAAUCCAUCAAGCUGUUUCCGGUCAUAGGCACAAAGGGAUGCAAUGCCAACUAACUAACUCACUGUCCUGAAGCAGUUCCCUGAUGCCCUAUAAAUCACCAGAUCUACUCCUUGGAUGAUAAAGCAAUGCAAAUUGCAGAAAUUAGAGGUGAAAUCAAAUGGUUGAAAGGAACCCUGCUUUGAUCACUUUUUGGCUAAAUUGGAGAAUUCAUUAAGUGUUUAGAUCUCAGUUAAUGUGUAGGAAAAAAUGUCUUUCUUUUAGGUUUGCAGAGUAGCUUAGACAUAUAAUGUUUAAAUCUGUGUAUAAUUCUAGCCACAAAAUCUGUGAUCAGAAAAUAUAUUUCCUUUUUCUUCUUUAUUGAUAACAAAAGGAAUGAAGAAAUUAUAGGUCUUUAGAGAUAUCAGUGUCUUUGGAUCAUGUGAUCUGAUGGAAAGAAAGAAAAUCAAUAUUAUCUGAGUGUCAGGGAUAUAGUAAUUGCUUUCACCUAUCUUGUUGUAUUCUCAUGAUAGCUUAUUGGGUGUAACCAACUACAUGUUUGUGUUUCCUCACAAACGUUAAUCCCCAUUAUGAUGAUAUUAGAAAGUGGGACUUUUAAGAGGUAAUUAGGUAAUAAAGGUGGAGCCUUCAUAAGUGAAAUUAGUGCCAUUAUAAGAAGGACCACAGAGAGCUCUCUUAUUCUCUUUCUGCCAUGUGAGGAUGCCAACAGAGAUAGUAGCUUCUAAGAUGGAAGAAGAAUCUUACCAGAAUUGAGCCUGGUCUUGGACUUCCAGCCUCCAGAACUGUGAUAAAUAUUAGGCAUAGAGAAAAGGCCAUAUGAGUACACAGCCAGAAGGUGUCUGCCUACAAGACAAAGAGGGAAAACUUACCUGAAACCAACCCUGAUGGAUAUUGGAUUUCUAAGCUCCAGAACUGUGAGAAAAUUAAUUUUAUGUGCUUUAAGACACUCAAUUUGUGGUAUUCUGUUAUGGCAGCCUAUGCUAGUCAAUUUGCAUUACCAUAAAGCAACACCUGAGAGUGGGUAAAUUAUAAAGAAAAGAAGUUGAAUCGGCUCAUGGUUCUGCAGGCAGUACAGAAGCAUAGUGCUGGCAAUUGCCCCUGGCAAGGGGCUCAGGAAGCUUACAAACAUGGCAGAAGGCAAAGGGAAGCCAACAUAUCACACGUAAGCUCAGGAAGCUUACAAACAUGGCAGAAGGCAAAGGGAAGCCAACAUAUCACGUGGCGAGAAAGACAGAGAAGCGGUAGGUCCCAGACUCUUUUAAACAACAAGACCUCAUGUGAACUGAGGGGAAACUCACUUUCACCAAGGAGAUGGUGCUAAACCACUAAUGAGGGAUCUGUCCCAUGAGCCAAUCACCUCCCACCAAGACCUACCUCCAAUUUUGGAAAUUAUAUUUCAACAUGAGAUUUGGAGGGGACAAACAUCCAAACCAUAUCCCAGCCUGAGCAGACUAACAGAGUCUCUGAAUAAAUCUAUGAAAAUGACUAGAGUAUUAUUUUGUUGAGUGAUUUCUUCUUGUAUUAGGAUUGGUCUCCUUGAAAAUAUUUUUCUCAUAUCUGUUAUAAUAAAAUACUGAGAAUCAUACUAAUUCUACUCUAAACUUAGAUAUUUAAGAGGGUUGGAUUUGACUGAUUGCUCUGAUGUUGCUAACAUAGUCAAAGACUUUUCAAAACUAAAGUGUAAUAUUAUGUCAUGCAACCUUGAGAAAAUUACAAUGGACAAAGCAGAACUAUAAUUCACAAUUCAUCUCCCAAACAAAUUGUGACACCCCUUCUUUCCAAUCCACUGAAAUAUGCCUAAAAUGAGAAAAAAGGGAAAUCUUAAAAACAACAACAACAACAACAAAGAAAAAACAGAAAACGGCAACAUUCAGGCAAAAAAGAAUGUGAGGACUAUGAUGCUGGCAUGCUAAACUUAAUUAAUAAUAAAUGAGAGAGUUUGGAAUGAU
This 2289-nucleotide long non-coding RNA is filed under the name Homo sapiens (human). Its description in RNAcentral is "HSALNT0315906". The record is from RNAcentral. Lineage: Eukaryota; Metazoa; Chordata; Mammalia; Primates; Hominidae.